RNAcentral lists this ribosomal RNA (120 nucleotides) under uncultured bacterium. RNAcentral describes it as "partial 16S ribosomal RNA". It matches the Rfam family "Bacterial small subunit ribosomal RNA", at positions 28 to 146 of the family's 1533-position model. The record is from RNAcentral.
GACGAACGCUGGCGGCGCGCUUAACACAUGCAAGUCGAACGGUGAACGGGGCUUCGGCCCCGGGAUCAGUGGCGAACGGGUGCGUAACACGUGGGCAACCUGCCCCUCACUCUGGGAUAA